UACGUAGGGUGCAAGCGUUAAUCGGAAUUACUGGGCGUAAAGCGUGCGCAGGCGGUUUGGUAAGACAGAUGUGAAAUCCCCGGGCUCAACCUGGGAAUUGCAUUUGUGACUGCCCGACUAGAGUGUGUCAGAGGGGGUAGAAUUCCACGUGUAGCAGUGAAAUGCGUAGAGAUGUGGAGGAAUACCGAUGGCGAAGGCAGCCCCCUGGGAUAACACUGACGCUCAUGCACGAAAGGCGUGGGGAGCAAACAGGAU
This 255-nucleotide ribosomal RNA is filed under the name uncultured bacterium. RNAcentral describes it as "partial 16S ribosomal RNA". It matches the Rfam family "Bacterial small subunit ribosomal RNA", at positions 524 to 778 of the family's 1533-position model. The record is from RNAcentral.